RNAcentral lists this ribosomal RNA (494 nucleotides) under uncultured Sphingomonas sp. RNAcentral describes it as "bacterial SSU rRNA". It matches the Rfam family "Bacterial small subunit ribosomal RNA", at positions 95 to 624 of the family's 1533-position model. Lineage: Bacteria; Pseudomonadati; Pseudomonadota; Alphaproteobacteria; Sphingomonadales; Sphingomonadaceae. The record is from RNAcentral.
GCGGCAGACGGGUGAGUAACGCGUGGGAACGUACCUUUUGCUACGGAAUAACUCAGGGAAACUUGUGCUAAUACCGUAUGUGCCCUUCGGGGGAAAGAUUUAUCGGCAAAGGAUCGGCCCGCGUUGGAUUAGCUAGUUGGUGAGGUAAAGGCUCACCAAGGCGACGAUCCAUAGCUGGUCUGAGAGGAUGAUCAGCCACACUGGGACUGAGACACGGCCCAGACUCCUACGGGAGGCAGCAGUGGGGAAUAUUGGACAAUGGGCGAAAGCCUGAUCCAGCAAUGCCGCGUGAGUGAUGGAGGCCUUAGGGUUGUAAAGCUCUUUUACCCGGGAUGAUAAUGACAGUACCGGGAGAAUAAGCUCCGGCUAACUCCGUGCCAGCAGCCGCGGUAAUACGGAGGGAGCUAGCGUUGUUCGGAAUUACUGGGCGUAAAGCGCACGUAGGCGGCUUUGUAAGUUAGAGGUGAAAGCCUGGAGCUUAACUCCAGAAUUGC